Molecule: ribosomal RNA, 328 nt
Filed under: uncultured eukaryote
Lineage: Eukaryota
Description: partial 18S ribosomal RNA
Rfam family: Eukaryotic small subunit ribosomal RNA
Source: RNAcentral
CCCUUAGAUGUCCUGGGCCGCACGCGCGUUACACUGAUGCAUUCAACGAGCUUAUAACCUUGGCCGAGAGGCCUGGGCAAUCUUGUUAACGUGCAUCGUGAUAGGGAUAGAUUAUUGAAAUUAUUAAUCUUGAACGAGGAAUUCCUAGUAAACGCAGAUCAUCAAUCUGCAUUGAUUACGUCCCUGCCCUUUGUACACACCGCCCGUCGCACCUACCGAUUGGAUGGUCCGGUGAGGCUUUGGGAUCUGAGCAAAAAGAGCGUUUCGCUCGUUUGGCUCGGAAAACUCAGUCGAACCUUAUCAUUUAGAGGAAGGAGAAGUCGUAACA